AAUAUUGCGCAAUGGGCGAAAGCCUGACGCAGCAACGCCGCGUGGGGGAUGAAGGCCUUCGGGUUGUAAACCCCUUUCAGCAGGGACGAAAAUGACGGUACCUGCAGAAGAAGCCCCGGCCAACUACGUGCCAGCAGCCGCGGUAAAACGUAGGACACGAACGUUAUCCGGAGUUACUGGGCGUAAAGCGCGCGUAGGCGGUAUGUUAAGUUACCUAUGAAAGUUAUCGGCUAAACUGGUAGAAGUUAGGUAAAACUGGCGUACUAGGGUGAAAUAGAGGGAAGUAGAAUUCCGGGUGUAGUGGUGAAAUGCGUAGAUAUCCGGAGGAAUACCAGUGGCGAAGGCGGCUUCCUGGAUUUCGACCGACGCUGAUGCGCGAAAGCGUGGGUAGCGAACGGGAUUAGAAACCCCGGUAGUCCACGCCGUA
Molecule: ribosomal RNA, 427 nt
Filed under: uncultured marine bacterium
Lineage: Bacteria
Description: bacterial SSU rRNA
Rfam family: Bacterial small subunit ribosomal RNA
Source: RNAcentral